AGGGUUGUAGCUCAGUGAUAGAGUGCUUGCCUAGCAUGCAAGGCACUGGGUUCAAUCCUCAGCACUA
Molecule: transfer RNA, 67 nt
Filed under: Urocitellus parryii (Arctic ground squirrel)
Lineage: Eukaryota; Metazoa; Chordata; Mammalia; Rodentia; Sciuridae
Also listed under: 2 other names
Description: Spermophilus parryii (Arctic ground squirrel) tRNA
Rfam family: tRNA
About the family: Transfer RNA (tRNA) molecules are approximately 80 nucleotides in length. Their secondary structure includes four short double-helical elements and three loops (D, anti-codon, and T loops). Further hydrogen bonds mediate the characteristic L-shaped molecular structure. tRNAs have two regions of fundamental functional importance: the anti-codon, which is responsible for specific mRNA codon recognition, and the 3' end, to which the tRNAs corresponding amino acid is attached (by aminoacyl-tRNA synthetases). tRNAs cope with the degeneracy of the genetic code in two manners: having more than one tRNA (with a specific anti-codon) for a particular amino acid; and 'wobble' base-pairing, i.e. permitting non-standard base-pairing at the 3rd anti-codon position.
Source: Rfam by way of RNAcentral